UGGGGAAUAUUGCGCAAUGGGGGCAACCCUGACGCAGCAACGCCGCGUGAUUGAAGAAGGCCUUCGGGUUGUAAAGAUCUUUAAUUAGGGACGAAAAAUGACGGUACCUAAAGAAUAAGCUCCGGCUAACUACGUGCCAGCAGCCGCGGUAAUACGUAGGGAGCAAGCGUUAUCCGGAUUUACUGGGUGUAAAGGGCGAGUAGGCGGGCUGGUAAGUUGGAAGUGAAAUCUGGGGGCUCAACCCCCAAACUGCUUUCAAAACUGCUGGUCUUGAGUGAUGGAGAGGCAGGCGGAAUUCCGUGUGUAGCGGUGAAAUGCGUAGAUAUACGGAGGAACACCAGUGGCGAAGGCGGCCUGCUGGACAUUAACUGACGCUGAGGAGCGAAAGCGUGGGGAGCAAACAG
This 404-nucleotide ribosomal RNA is filed under the name uncultured bacterium. RNAcentral's name for it is "bacterial SSU rRNA". It matches the Rfam family "Bacterial small subunit ribosomal RNA", at positions 355 to 775 of the family's 1533-position model. The record is from RNAcentral.